GCACACCCAAGAGGGGACCAGGCGGGGGGCCGGGGGGCGGGCUUCCCUGGGAGGAAGGUGGGCGGCCCUGCAGGAGGGGAGCCACAGUGGAUGCACAGGGCCAGAGAGCCGGACAGGCGAGCUUGGGUGUGCAGGUGCCGCCUCCACAUGGCUGAGGUGUGGCCAGGCGGUCCUCCCACACCCUGGCCUGUGGAGCCAGGCUCCCUGGGAACCCCUGGCCUGAGGAUGGGAAGGGGCUGAGCUUGUCACAGGGGUGUGGAUGCCACCUGGCGGGAGGGAGU
This 281-nucleotide long non-coding RNA is filed under the name Homo sapiens (human). RNAcentral's name for it is "lncAB31.1". Lineage: Eukaryota; Metazoa; Chordata; Mammalia; Primates; Hominidae. The record is from RNAcentral.